UGUACCCUGCAGUGUGCGUGGGGGUUAGCACAAUUGAGCCAACACCAAGAACAGGGACCUGGGCUCUGGAUGUGGCUUGCAGGCCCCGGUAGGGGAAGCAUAAAGCAAUCAGGAGGGUCCCACUCGCGUGAGAGCGGGUUCAAGCUUGGGGGCUUCCACGGCAUCUGCGGGGUACUU
This 177-nucleotide non-coding RNA is filed under the name Clostridia bacterium. RNAcentral describes it as "6S RNA". It matches the Rfam family "6S / SsrS RNA". Rfam says of the family: E. coli 6S RNA was the first non coding RNA to be sequenced, but its function was unknown until recently. It consists of 184 nucleotides that fold into an extended hairpin structure with a large single-stranded internal bulge. The record is from RNAcentral. Lineage: Bacteria; Bacillati; Bacillota; Clostridia.